GGAAGUAAAAAAUCGUAACAAGGUCUCCGUUGGUGAACCAGCGGAGGGAUCAUUACUGAGUUUACGCUCUACAACCCUUUGUGAACAUACCUAUAACUGUUGCUUCGGCGGGCAGGGUCUCCGUGACCCUCCCGGCCUCCCGCCCCCGGGCGGGUCGGCGCCCGCCGGAGGAUAACCAAACUCUGAUUUAACGACGUUUCUUCUGAGUGGUACAAGCAAAUAAUCAAAACUUUUAACAACGGAUCUCUUGGUUCUGGCAUCGAUGAAGAACGCAGCGAAAUGCGAUAAGUAAUGUGAAUUGCAGAAUUCAGUGAAUCAUCGAAUCUUUGAACGCACAUUGCGCCCGCCAGCAUUCUGGCGGGCAUGCCUGUUCGAGCGUCAUUUCAACCCUCAAGCUCUGCUUGGUGUUGGGGCCCUACAGCUGAUGUAGGCCCUCAAAGGUAGUGGCGGACCCUCCCGGAGCCUCCUUUGCGUAGUAACUUUACGUCUCGCACUGGGAUCCGGAGGGACUCUUGCCGUAAAACCCCCAAUUUCCAAAGGUGACCUCGGAUCAGG
RNAcentral lists this ribosomal RNA (555 nucleotides) under Colletotrichum sp. JK103. Its description in RNAcentral is "eukaryotic LSU rRNA". The stretch from base 228 to 381 matches the Rfam family "5.8S ribosomal RNA". Lineage: Eukaryota; Fungi; Ascomycota; Sordariomycetes; Glomerellales; Glomerellaceae. The record is from RNAcentral.